RNAcentral lists this ribosomal RNA (486 nucleotides) under uncultured bacterium. Its description in RNAcentral is "partial 16S ribosomal RNA". It matches the Rfam family "Bacterial small subunit ribosomal RNA", at positions 28 to 523 of the family's 1533-position model. The record is from RNAcentral.
GAUGAACGCUGGCGGCGUGCUUAACACAUGCAAGUCGAACGGAAAGGCCCCAGCUUGCUGGGGUACUCGAGUGGCGAACGGGUGAGUAACACGUGGGUGAUCUGCCCUGCACUUUGGGAUAAGCUUGGGAAACUGGGUCUAAUACCGAAUAUGACCACUGCUUGGAUGUUGUGGUGGAAAGCUUUUGCGGUGUGGGAUGAGCCUGCGGCCUAUCAGCUUGUUGGUGGGGUAAUGGCCUACCAAGGCGGCGACGGGUAUCGGGCCUGAGAGGGUGUACGGACACAUUGGGACUGAGAUACGGCCCAGACUCCUACGGGAGGCAGCAGUGGGGAAUAUUGCACAAUGGGCGCAAGCCUGAUGCAGCGACGCCGCGUGGGGGAUGAAGGCCUUCGGGUUGUAAACUCCUUUCGCUAUCGACGAAGCCACUUGUGGUGACGGUAGGUAGAUAAGAAGCACCGGCUUACUACGUGCCAGCAGCCGCCGUAA